Molecule: ribosomal RNA, 404 nt
Filed under: uncultured bacterium
Lineage: Bacteria
Description: partial 16S ribosomal RNA
Rfam family: Bacterial small subunit ribosomal RNA
Source: RNAcentral
AUUGAACGCUGGCGGCAGGCCUAACACAUGCAAGUCGAGCGAGCGGCGGACGGGUGAGUACUGCCUGGGACUUGCGCAGUAGGGGGGGAUAACAGUUGAAAACGACUUCUAAUCCCACAUACGAUUGUCUUCCCCGGGUGGGAUUAGCUAUUUGGGGGGGUAAUGGCUCACCAAGGCGACGAGCCCUAGCUGGUCUGAGAGGAUGAUCAGCCACACUGGAACUGAGACACGGUCCAGACUCCUACGGGAGGCAGCAGUGGGGAAUAUUGCACAAUGGGGGAAACCCUGAUGCAGCCAUGCCGCGUGUGUGAAGAAGGCCUUCGGGUUGUAAAGCACUUUCAGCGAGGAGGCGUUACUAGCAGAAGAAGCACCGGCUAACUCCGUGCCAGCAGCCGCGGUAAUUC